UACGGAGGGAGCAAGCGUUGUUCGGAUUUACUGGGCGUAAAGGGCGUGUAGGUGGGUAGCUAAGUCAGAUGUGAAAUCCCUCAGCUCAACUGAGGAACUGCAUUUGAAACUGAUUAUCUUGAGUGUGAGAAGAGAGAGCGGAAUUUUCGGUGUAGCGGUGAAAUGCGUAGAUAUCGAAAAGAACACCUGUGGUGCAAACGGCUCUCUGGCUCAACACUGACACUGAGGCGCGAAAGCUAGGGUAGCGAACGGGAUUAGAUACCCCCGUA
This 269-nucleotide ribosomal RNA is filed under the name uncultured prokaryote. RNAcentral describes it as "partial 16S ribosomal RNA". It matches the Rfam family "Bacterial small subunit ribosomal RNA", at positions 524 to 792 of the family's 1533-position model. The record is from RNAcentral.